Pan troglodytes (chimpanzee) is the source of this 1491-nucleotide long non-coding RNA. RefSeq lists it as uncharacterized. The record is from RefSeq and is a predicted model, not a curated record. Lineage: Eukaryota; Metazoa; Chordata; Mammalia; Primates; Hominidae. The transcript has 7 exons.
ACCAUUGCCAGGAACCAUGCCACACCAUACCAGUCAGUGAGCCAGGCUGGUUCUUCUUAUCACAAAAGAUCAAAUGCCCAGGAAUAUGAGUCAUCUGAAGAUUCCUGCUAAUGAGCAGAGCCCUGCACGAGAGUUGACAAGACUGAAGCCCAGAGUUCUUUGUCCAUGAAUGUUGGACAAGAAUGAGCAGUGCCUGCUUCUCUUAACUUCGAAUCUGCUUCAACAGAAAGAGCUUAAUGGAAAAGCAUGCCCUGCACUUCUGUUUUCCAUGAGGAGCCAGAAGUCAUCAGCAAAGCUGCAGCCCAAGAUGAGAAAAGCCAUUCGCCUCCUGGGGCCUCCAUGGAGUGAAUGCCUUUAAGAUGACAAGAGCUGGGAUGUAGGAGGAAGGUCAUUUUGGGACUCUCGCCCAUUUCCCACAGACCUAUAUACCCCGCCUGCAAACCUGACGGAAAGGCCCACACACCACACCAGAGAGAUGUGGAGGGACGGAGCAUUCAUCAUAGACAGCAUUGGAGCCCCCGUCCCGGAACCCUGAGCAUGCCUGCAGGUUAUCAGUGGAUGCCUCACCUUAGAAAAGUCCCGUAAAACUGAGGAAGAUUGUGGGAGGUAUCCUUGGGGGUCAUCUAGACCAGCACUCCAGCCUGCCCCAAAUCUACAGAUCAAAAAAGCAAAGUCCAGAGAAGUAACGUCUCAAGGUCACAUAAGUCAGUCCCUAUCAACAUCAGCACUAAAAUCAAGGCUUCCUAAAACCAGUCGGAUCAUUGUUCCAUUACAGCAUAUGGCUUUUCUUCUGGAAAAAUGUCCAACUGUAGCAGACAGAAAGGAAGCCAAGAGAGGGUGUUUACAGCAAGGAGGGGCUAUGAAAUAUCUUCACUCCAGGUUCUUUACGAGCUGCAGUGUAUCAUUUUUAUCAGUAAUUGGAAGCAUGCUGCAUGUUUGACUCUGUGGACUCCUGCUUUACACAACAGAACAUUCCGAUGGUGUGCAUGUGCCAUACCCUGCCGUAACAAAUCUCAGCUGGUCCUCUGCUGUCCUCUGGGGAGAAUGCAUUUGAACUCAUCUCAAAGAGCUGGUUUUCUACCCUGGAGGUCUCCGAUGGCUACUGCGAGAAGAAAGCCAUGUCCCGAAAGCAGUGAUACAGAUUGGCAGCCACUGCAGAGAUGCAGAAUGUCGAAGAGUGUGUGUGUUGGAAUUCCUGGACAGACACUGCUCUGAAAGAAAAACCCUCUGGUUUUGGAAGUCUGGUUGGGCAAGGCAGGCGGAGGUCAUGGAGGGGCCGGCGUGAUGGAAUCCUCGGUGCAGCUGACUGCGCAGCCCGACACUGGCGUGGACACUGGGAUGCGUCAUGCAACAUCCAACCAGAGCACACUCACGAGGACAAACAUGGGCCCACCUAUUUACCAUCAGAAAAACAAAAUCACGCUCUUUCACUUUGAAAGAAGGGGGAAACUGGAAAGUUAUUAUUUGAAAUAAAAUGGAAUUUUAGGAUAA